GAUGAACGCUAGCGGCAGGCCUAACACAUGCAAGUCGAGGGAGAGGUUACCGUCGGGUAGCCAAAACCGGCGCACGGGCGCGUAAGGCGUAUACAAGUUGCCUUUCACAUAGGGAUAGCCCGAAGAAAUUUGGAUUAAUACCUAAUGGUAUAUAAGAGCGGCAUCGUUUUGAUAUUAAAGAUACGGCGGUGGAUGAUGAGUCUGCGUUCUAUUAGCUAGUUGGUGAGGUAACGGCUCCCCAAGGCGGCGAUAGAUAGGGGUUCUGAGGGGGAGGUCCCCCACACUGGUACUGGGCUCCGGACCAGUCUCCUACGGGAGGCAGCAGUACGGAAUGUUGAACAAUGGUCGGUAGCCUGAUCCAGCCAUGCCGCGUGCAGGAUGACGGUCCUAUGGAUUGUAAACUGCUUUUGUAAGGGAAGAAUAAGGAGUACGUGUACUUUGAUGACGGUACCUUACGAAUAAGCAUCGGCUAACUCCGUG
RNAcentral lists this ribosomal RNA (480 nucleotides) under uncultured bacterium. Its description in RNAcentral is "partial 16S ribosomal RNA". It matches the Rfam family "Bacterial small subunit ribosomal RNA", at positions 28 to 507 of the family's 1533-position model. The record is from RNAcentral.